CAGGAUCUAGGCUGAAGCUUGUCGGCAAUCCGUGCGGCGCGUAUGGCGAGGUGCGAUGAUGGGAGCCGUUUCGGCUCGAUAUCCGGUGGUCCAGGCCGUCGAGAAAAGCCCCGGCGUCAGGCGCGUUGCCGCCCGUACCCCAAACCGACACUGGUGGUCAGGUAGAGAAUACCAAGGCGAUCGAGCGAAUCCUGGUCAAGGAACUCGGCAAACCGCUCCCGUGCCUUCGGCAUAAGGGAGACCCCCGCGGGUGAACGGACAUGCUCCGGGAGCGUGUGGGGGUGGCACAGACCAGGGGGUAGCGACUGUUUACCAAAAACACAGGUGCAUGCGAAGGCGUAAGCCGCUGUAUAUGCACUGACGCCUGCCCGGUGCCGGAAGGUUAAGAGGAUCCGUCAGCCCCUUGGGGGUGAAGCGGUGAAUUCAAGCCCCGGUAAACGGCGGUGGUAACUAUAACCAUCCUAAGGUAGCGAAAUUCCUUGUCGGGUAAGUUCCGACCUGCACGAAUGGCGUAACGACUUCCCCGCUGUCUCGACCAGGAGCUCGGCGAAAUUGCAGUACGAGUAAAGAUGCUCGUUAAGCGCAGAAGGACGAAAAGACCCCGGGACCUUUACUAUACCUUGGUAUUGGCGUCAGUCGCGGAUUGUGUAGCAUAGGCGGGAGGCUUCGAGGCGCGGGCGCCAGCCCGCGCGGAGCCGCAAGGUGAAAUACCGCUCUGUUCUCGUUUGACGUCUCACCUCGAACGGUCAUCCUGUUCAGGGACAGUGCCUGGCGGGUAGUUUAACUGGGGCGGUUGCCUCCCAAAGAGUAACGGAGGCGCUCAAAGGUCCGCUCAGCCCGGUUGGCCAUCGGGUGUCGAGUGCAAUCGCACAAGCGGGCUUGACUGCGAGGACCGCGGUCCGAGCAGGGACGAAAGUCGGAGAUUGUGAUCCGGUGCGGGCGCGCGGGCGCGGCAUCGCUCCACGGAUAAAGGGUCCCCGGGCAUAACGGGUGAUCUUUCCCAGAGGUCCUUCACCGGAUGGUGUGGCUCUCGAUUUCGGGUCGUCGCAUCUGGGGCUUGACCGGUCCCAGGGUUGGUGUCGCGAUUAAGCGGGCGCAUCUUGGUCGAACGUUGGGACGUUGGGCUUCCCGGGCCGUGGAAUCGGGAGGUGCCUUUUCAAG
RNAcentral lists this ribosomal RNA (1161 nucleotides) under human gut metagenome. RNAcentral's name for it is "bacterial LSU rRNA". It matches the Rfam family "Bacterial large subunit ribosomal RNA", at positions 1507 to 2681 of the family's 2925-position model. The record is from RNAcentral.